RNAcentral lists this ribosomal RNA (490 nucleotides) under uncultured bacterium. Its description in RNAcentral is "partial 16S ribosomal RNA". It matches the Rfam family "Bacterial small subunit ribosomal RNA", at positions 30 to 507 of the family's 1533-position model. The record is from RNAcentral.
AUUGAACGCUGGCGGCAGGCCUAACACAUGCAAGUCGAACGGUAACAGGAAGCAGCUUGCUGCUUUGCUGACGAGUGGCGGACGGGUGAGUAAUGUCUGGGAAACUGCCUGAUGGAGGGGGAUAACUACUGGAAACGGUAGCUAAUACCGCAUAACGUCGCAAGACCAAAGAGGGGGACCUUAGGGCCUCUUGCCAUCGGCUGUGCCCAGAUGGGAUUAGCUAGUAGGUGGGGUAACGGCUCACCUAGGCGACGAUCCCUAGCUGGUCUGAGAGGAUGACCAGCCACACUGGAACUGAGACACGGUCCAGACUCCUACGGGAGGCAGCAGUGGGGAAUAUUGCACAAUGGGCGCAAGCCUGAUGCAGCCAUGCCGCGUGUAUGAAGAAGGCCUUCGGGUUGUAAAGUACUUUCAGCGGGGAGGAAGGGAGUAAAGUUAAUACCUUUGCUCAUUGACGUUACCCGAAGAAGAAGCACCGGCUAACUCCGUG